UACAGAGGUCUCAAGCGUUGUUCGGAUUCAUUGGGCGUAAAGCGUGUGUAGGCGGGCCGUUAAGUGCCCCGUGAAAUCCCCCGGCUCAACCGGGGAACGGCGGGGCAUACUGGCGGCCUUGAGGCACCCAGGGGCGAGCGGAACAGGCGGUGGAGCGGUGAAAUGCGUAGAUAUCGCCUGGAACGCCGACGGUGAAAACAGCUCGCUGGGGGUGUGCUGACGCUGAGACACGAAAGCCAGGGGAGCGAACGGG
This 253-nucleotide ribosomal RNA is filed under the name uncultured bacterium. RNAcentral describes it as "partial 16S ribosomal RNA". It matches the Rfam family "Bacterial small subunit ribosomal RNA", at positions 524 to 776 of the family's 1533-position model. The record is from RNAcentral.